CCCUAUUAUUAAAGAUAGUGUAAAAAUUAAUAUAAGUGAAAUUUAAAGAUAUUGGCGGUUAAUUUUUUUUUAGAGGAGCUUGUAAUUAAUAGAAUUGGCUCUUUAUAUUUUGGUGAUAGAAGAUUUAUUCAUCUCCGUUAUCAAAUAAGUUAAAGUAAAUAUUUUUAGUAUAUCAGGUCAAGAUGUAGUAUCUAUUACAUAUUAUUAGCUACAUUUAUAAAAUAGAUGGAUAUUUAUAGGUAGAUAAACUUUGAAACUGAAUUUAAUUGUAAUAGUAAUUAAAAGGUUAUUAUGAAUAGAUAUAAUUAGUGUA
This 313-nucleotide ribosomal RNA is filed under the name Pristocnemus farinosus. Its description in RNAcentral is "partial 12S ribosomal RNA". Lineage: Eukaryota; Metazoa; Arthropoda; Arachnida; Opiliones; Gonyleptidae. The record is from RNAcentral.